UGGGGAAUUUUGGACAAUGGGCGAAAGCCUGAUCCAGCAAUGCCGCGUGUGUGAAGAAGGCCUUCGGGUUGUAAAGCACUUUUGUCCGGAAAGAAAUCCUUGGCUCUAAUACAGUCGGGGGAUGACGGUACCGGAAGAAUAAGCACCGGCUAACUACGUGCCAGCAGCCGCGGUAAUACGUAGGGUGCAAGCGUUAAUCGGAAUUACUGGGCGUAAAGCGUGCGCAGGCGGUUUGCUAAGACCGAUGUGAAAUCCCCGGGCGUCAACCUGGGAACUGCAUUGGUGACUGGCAGGCUAGAGUAUGGCAGAGGGGGUAGAAUUCCACGUGUAGCAGUGAAAUGCGUAGAGAUGUGGAGGAAUACCGAUGGCGAAGGCAGCCCCUCGGCAGUCAACUGACGCUCAUGCACGAAAGCGUGGGGAGCAAACAGGAUUAGAUACCCUGGUAGUCCACGCCCUAAACGAUGUCAACUAGUUGUUGGGGAUUCAUUUCCUUAGUAACGUAGCUAACGCGUGAAGUUGACCGCCUGGGGAGUACGGUCGCAAGAUUAAAACUUAAAGGAAUUGACGGGGUCAUAGCUGUUUCCU
This 585-nucleotide ribosomal RNA is filed under the name uncultured bacterium. RNAcentral describes it as "partial 16S ribosomal RNA". It matches the Rfam family "Bacterial small subunit ribosomal RNA", at positions 355 to 1375 of the family's 1533-position model. The record is from RNAcentral.